CGUGUCUCUAGAGUUUGAUCAUGGCUCAGGACGAACGCUGGCGGCGUGGAUUAGGCACGCAAGUCGAGCGACGGUUUGGAUUCGUCCAAAUACGGAGCGGCGAACGGGUGAGUAACACGUGAACAACCUACCCCAUUGUUCCGGAUAAUUGGUCGAAAGACCUUGUAAUACGGGCGAGAAUCCUUUUGAGGCAUCUUUCGAGGAUUGAACAAGCAAUUGGCACUGGGCGGGGUUCGCGGCUUAUCAGGUAGUUGGUGAGGUAAUGGCUCACCAAGCCUACGACGAGUAGCUGGUCUGAGAGGAUGGUCAGCCACAUUGGAACUGAGACACUGUCCAGACUCCUACGGGAGGCUGCAGUCGAGAAUCUUGGGCAAUGCACGAAAGUGUGACCCAGCGACGCCGCGUGAAGGAUGAAGGCCCUCUGGGUUGUAAACUUCUUUUACGGGAGAAGAAGAUCUGACGGUAUCCCGUGAAUAAGCCACGGCUAACUACGUGCCAGCGCCGCGGUAA
This 510-nucleotide ribosomal RNA is filed under the name uncultured bacterium. RNAcentral's name for it is "bacterial SSU rRNA". It matches the Rfam family "Bacterial small subunit ribosomal RNA", at positions 1 to 523 of the family's 1533-position model. The record is from RNAcentral.